CCUACGGGAGGCAGCAGUGGGGAAUCUUCCGCAAUGGACGAAAGUCUGACGGAGCAACGCCGCGUGAGUGAUGAAGGAUUUCGGUCUGUAAAGCUCUGUUGUUUAUGACGAACGUGCAGUGUGUGAACAAUGCAUUGCAAUGACGGUAGUAAACGAGGAAGCCACGGCUAACUACGUGCCAGCAGCCGCGGUAAU
This 195-nucleotide ribosomal RNA is filed under the name uncultured Phascolarctobacterium sp. Its description in RNAcentral is "partial 16S ribosomal RNA". It matches the Rfam family "Bacterial small subunit ribosomal RNA", at positions 338 to 524 of the family's 1533-position model. Lineage: Bacteria; Bacillati; Bacillota; Negativicutes; Acidaminococcales; Acidaminococcaceae. The record is from RNAcentral.